UCCCCAUUAACUGAGGCAGUUUCCUGUGAAAAGUACAACACAGGAUGCGGGUUGCGCUCGUUGACCGACUGAACGGGACACUUCACAGCACGAGCUGACGACAACCGUGCAACACCUGUCACCUGGUUCCUUGCGGCACGGCCCCCUUUCAGGGGCUUUCCAGGGAUGUCAAACCUCGGUAAGGUUCUUCGCUUAGUGACGAAUUAAACCCCACGCUCCACCACUUGUGCGGGUCCCCGUCAAUUCCUUUGAGUUUUAAACUUGCGUUCGUACUCCCCAGGCGGCUCACUUAACGCGUUAGCUACGGUCCAAAAGGGGGUCGAUACCCUCCAAGACCUAGUGAGCAUCGUUUACGGCGUGGACUAC
Molecule: unclassified non-coding RNA, 366 nt
Filed under: uncultured bacterium
Lineage: Bacteria
Description: contains 16S-23S intergenic spacer region
Source: RNAcentral